GAUGAACGCUGGCGGCGUGCCUAAUACAUGCAAGUCGAGCGAACGGACGAGAAGCUUGCUUCUCUGAUGUUAGCGGCGGACGGGUGAGUAACACGUGGAUAACCUACCUAUAAGACUGGGAUAACUUCGGGAAACCGGAGCUAAUACCGGAUGAUAUUUUGAACCACAUGGUUCAAAAGUGAAAGACGGUCUUGCUGUCACUUAUAGAUGGAUCCGCGCUGCAUUAGCUAGUUGGUAAGGUAACGGCUUACCAAGGCAACGAUGCAUAGCCGACCUGAGAGGGUGAUCGGCCACACUGGAACUGAGACACGGUCCAGACUCCUACGGGAGGCAGCAGUAGGGAAUCUUCCGCCAUGGGCGAAAGCCUGACGGCGCAACGCCGCGUGAGUGAUGAAGGUCUUCGGAUCGUAAAACUCUGUUAUUAGGGAAGAACAUAUGUGUAAGUAACUGUGCACAUCUUGACGGUACCUAAUCAGAAAGCCACGGCUAACUACGUG
Molecule: ribosomal RNA, 497 nt
Filed under: uncultured bacterium
Lineage: Bacteria
Description: partial 16S ribosomal RNA
Rfam family: Bacterial small subunit ribosomal RNA
Source: RNAcentral